UCACUCACCUUAUUAUUUAGAGAAUGUUAAUGGUAUUGAUGUGGGUCUUCUUAGUGUGUUUAAGGCACAUGAGUUUGGUUUUUCCCCUGUGGGAAAGGAGAACAGGUUCUUUUUUCCCCCUUGCCUUUUGCAGUGACCUUUCACCUGAUUGCAGCCUGCUGCAGUGGCUCCUCACAGUCUCCUCCAGGCUGGAUGAAAACACAGCCCAUGCUUUCUCACCUCCCACCACAGUCAGACUGGGGGAGGCACCUGAGCAAGCCUCUGUGCAAUUCUUUCACUGCCUGUGAUGGUGGUGAUACAGAGGGAGUGGAUAAAACUAGAACUGGUCAAAUACCAUCCAUGCUGUCUACUCACACAGCUCAGCUGAGAGCAGUUCACAUGCAUCAGCACUGAGCUGCCUUCUUCAAACCAUCCAAAGGCCUGAAGCUGUGAUUCUGCAAAGCUGCCCUCAUCCUCAUGAGUCACUGGACAAAGGAGCUGCUGGAUUUGGACUCUGUCACCUGCUCUGAAGCCUCUGCUGAUAUGAACCCUGGGAUCUCUUCUGCAUUGACUCUUAACCUCUUACACCACCGAGCUUCCAGGAAGGCUUGGACUGAGACCCAAACACCCAUUCUGCGUGGGCAAGUUCAGAGACAGGUUUUUGCAAGCCAGUCUUUGCUUCACCCAUGGACAAUUUUCAUUUGGAUGGUUUUCCUCCAGCCCCAUCUGUUGUUGUGGCCUCACAGAAACAGUUAAUGGCUUGUUCUUGCCUCCUACUCCUUGGCCUGCCAAAGUCCCAUCCCUGUUGCAGAUACCACAGCCCUGAAGCAGCCAGGUGAGAGGCUGCUCAGGCUCCUUCCCAAGGAGGAGGAACAGGGACUGAGGAGGGACACGGCCCAUGGGCAGCAGGACCCGGUGCAGCAGAGCCCCUUCAGCGCCCAGCGGUGAUGGAGAGGGCUGUCCAAGCUGGACAUUUGCCCGGCUUAGGGAGAAUAAGGAGAGUGACCCUUGUCAUUUGAAGAGGCAGAGAACAGGUAAAGCAGAAGAGAACGGGAGCAAACAUAGAAGUCAGACAGAAAACUCCCAUCUCAGCACCAGGAGUUGCCAUCGAGGUACUGCAUUUCAGGCACCCCAGAGGAGGCGCUUUCGGAGUCUCAGCCUUAUCAGUUUCUCACCUCAUUGCUGUGGUGUGUUGCCAAGGGGACAGGAGGCAUGUUUUGGGAGGAUGCAGCCCAUGUGACAGCAAUAGGAGAACCACAGCUCCCAGAGCAGCUCUGCCAGUGAUGAUUAUACAAACAGAGCAGCCCCCCAGUGAAGCCCCAGUGCUAGCACACAUGAGCCCCUCAAUCCAUUGCCCUGUGUCAGGUCACUGUUCAGGGUCCACCCUUCCCUCUCCUCCAGCAAGUUCACUGUGGGAUGUGCCCCAGGCCAGCCCUGGCAGCAGACUCCUUCUGAGCCCCUGUGGCUUUUUCUGAUUAAUGGGCACACAGCUAAGAGGCACUGGGAAUUAGAGAUAAGCCCCAGCGCUAGGAGCACUUCUGACAGCCCCAUAGCACGGCUGGGGAGAGAUGAGUGCAGAGAUGAGGAUUUCACAAACCCCGUACAAGACUCAGGGCACACCCAGCUCUGGAGGAUGCAGCUGGGCCCUGAGCACCUGGGGAUGUGGCAGGCUGGCCAGAAGCCCCCUGAGGAAGGUGCUGAUGCAGACACCUGCACACUGAGUGAAGUGCCAAGUGCCCCAGCUCCUGGAACAGGUGCACAGUUGCAAGGUAUCACAUGUUCUUGGUGGCUCCGUGCCCUUCUCCAGCUCAGCCAGGGGUGGGAGGACACAGACCUCAGACAAGCAGGAAGCCUGGCAGGUACUGCUUUCUCCAAAUGUCACCAGCCCAGUCUUCUCUGCCCACGUGCCUGGGGUGGCUUUACCACAGUGGUACCAAAUGCAGCUGCACCAGAGCUGCUGUGUGUAGCCUGAGCGCCCUUUGCUUCCACAGGUCACCCCAGACACUGUGCACCCCUCCCUUUCUGUAUGCAGCCCGAGGCCCCUUCAAUCCACCCCUCCUCUCUGCCUGGGUGAGUCCUGUGCCUUCAGGCUCGAGUAGGAAGCUGCAAGGCUGU
This is a long non-coding RNA of Prinia subflava (tawny-flanked prinia), 2094 nucleotides long. RefSeq lists it as uncharacterized. NCBI's taxonomy places the organism in Eukaryota, Metazoa, Chordata, Aves, Passeriformes, Cisticolidae. The record is from RefSeq and is a predicted model, not a curated record. The transcript has 3 exons.